RNAcentral lists this ribosomal RNA (763 nucleotides) under uncultured Stenotrophomonas sp. Its description in RNAcentral is "bacterial SSU rRNA". It matches the Rfam family "Bacterial small subunit ribosomal RNA", at positions 28 to 776 of the family's 1533-position model. Lineage: Bacteria; Pseudomonadati; Pseudomonadota; Gammaproteobacteria; Lysobacterales; Lysobacteraceae. The record is from RNAcentral.
AGUGAACGCUGGCGGUAGGCCUAACACAUGCAAGUCGAACGGCAGCACAGAGGAGCUUGCUCCUUGGGUGGCGAGUGGCGGACGGGUGAGGAGUACAUCGGAAUCUACUCUGUCGUGGGGGAUAACGUAGGGAAACUUACGCUAAUACCGCAUACGACCUACGGGUGAAAGCAGGGGAUCUUCGGACCUUGCGCGAUUGAAUGAGCCGAUGUCGGAUUAGCUAGUUGGCGGGGUAAAGGCCCACCAAGGCGACGAUCCGUAGCUGGUCUGAGAGGAUGAUCAGCCACACUGGAACUGAGACACGGUCCAGACUCCUACGGGAGGCAGCAGUGGGGAAUAUUGGACAAUGGGCGCAAGCCUGAUCCAGCCAUACCGCGUGGGUGAAGAAGGCCUUCGGGUUGUAAAGCCCUUUUGUUGGGAAAGAAAUCCAGCCGGCUAAUACCUGGUUGGGAUGACGGUACCCAAAGAAUAAGCACCGGCUAACUUCGUGCCAGCAGCCGCGGUAAUACGAAGGGUGCAAGCGUUACUCGGAAUUACUGGGCGUAAAGCGUGCGUAGGUGGUUAUUUAAGUCCGUUGUGAAAGCCCUGGGCUCAACCUGGGAACUGCAGUGGAUACUGGAUGACUAGAAUGUGGUAGAGGGGUAGCGGAAUUCCUGGUGUAGCAGUGAAAUGCGUAGAGAUCAAGAGGAACAUCCAUGGCGAAGGCAGCUACCUGGACCAACAUUGACACUGGAGGCACGAAAAGCGUGGGGGAACAAACAGG